UCCGCCAGAGAGGUUUUGCUUCAGUUUCUUCCCUCUCUGCGUUCUCCACCUUCUCAGUGUUUUUCUACAGUAAUAUUUCAUGAAAUUUUCUACCUGUUUGUUAGGGGACAUGGUUACUGGAUGAAACAGUGUGUCUCUGAAUCUUAAAACAAAGUGUAUAGUUCCACCUAAGAAAUACAUAAUUGGAGACGUCAGUCCAGUUGUAUGCAGCAACUAGAUAUGUCCACAAGAUGGCUCUACUUCAAAGACUAGUAUAAUUUUAGUAACUGGAGACAUUUUGCGCUCUGUGUUCCCUGUACUCAACGGUUUUCCUUAUAAUGAGGUUGGCCUCUUUUGGAAUUGGAAACUACAGACAUCAACAGUUCUAGAAGUGCUGAUGUGGGAAAAGUCCUCUAAUUUGCUGGCUCUCCUGCCUUCUGGGAAGAGCAGCUGGUCAUAGCCUUCAGAGGAGGAAACCACAGCUACUUUGCCUUCUUUCCACAUUGUUCUGGGACUCUGGUGAUGCUUACGGGAAGAGAGCAGCUCUUCCCAUACCUACAAGACAAGGGAGUGGACAGCAUGUGAAGGCUCUACUUCUUCCUGCUAUCUAGGUAAAACAAACACUACUCUUUUUCCACUUCUUUUCCAAGUUCACCCAGGCCUAGGUGAAUUAUCCCUCUACUUAGUUCUGUGGAGAACUCUAU
RNAcentral lists this long non-coding RNA (683 nucleotides) under Struthio camelus australis. Its description in RNAcentral is "lncRNA (ENSSCUG00000014805.1)". Lineage: Eukaryota; Metazoa; Chordata; Aves; Struthioniformes; Struthionidae. The record is from RNAcentral.